GAUGAACGCUGGCGGCGUGCCUAAUACAUGCAAGUAGAACGCUGAAGGAGGAGCUUGCUCUUCUGGAUGAGUUGCGAACGGGUGAGUAACGCGUAGGUAACCUGCCUGGUAGCGGGGGAUAACUAUUGGAAACGAUAGCUAAUACCGCAUGACAACAGUUAUUGCAUGAUAACUGUUUAAAAGGGGCAACUGCUCCACUACCAGAUGGACCUGCGUUGUAUUAGCUAGUUGGUGAGGUAACGGCUCACCAAGGCGACGAUACAUAGCCGACCUGAGAGGGUGAUCGGCCACACUGGGACGGAGACACGGCCCAGACUCCUACGGGAGGCAGCAGUAGGGAAUCUGCGGCAAGGGACGGAAGUCUGACCGAGCAACGCCGCGUGAGUGAAGAAGGUUGUCGGAUCGUAAAGCUCUGUUGUAAGAGAAGAACGAGUGUGAGAGUGGAAAGUUCACACUGUGACGGUAUCUUACCAGAAAGGGACGGCUAACUACGUG
This 495-nucleotide ribosomal RNA is filed under the name uncultured bacterium. Its description in RNAcentral is "partial 16S ribosomal RNA". It matches the Rfam family "Bacterial small subunit ribosomal RNA", at positions 28 to 507 of the family's 1533-position model. The record is from RNAcentral.